AUUUUUGCAGGUAUUGUCGGAUGUGAUUAUUAAUAUAGUUUCAAAUUACAAUGUUCCCCAUUGCAAGAUUAAUCAUUGCUUCAAAAUACACUCAUCUACCGAGCAUGCGAACACAAACACAAAGAGCAAGAUACUCCAGAAACAUUUGACUCAUCUCUUGUUGGAUGUUGCACCACAAGAUUAUAUCACGAAACACAGCUUAUAAUUGGGGGUAUCAUGAGUUCAGAAAGCUUCAAGAAGAUAACAAAGUUUUAAGCUUCACUUUAUGUAUCUUUUAUGCCUCGGUGGAUAUCGGUUGUGUUGGUAAUACCAACUAAAUACCCAUUGACAGUACAUGUGAAUAAGGGUGAGCCGGGUAAUGGUUGAUAGGGUCGUAUUAGGUAAUACAUUCUUAACUUCAAGAAGACAAACUCUAUAAACAUUAAAAAGAAAAUGCGUCAUUUAAAUUCAAAGAAGUCUGGCACUGUUAUUGAAGGUCAAUUUUUGUUCAUUUACUCUGUUUUUUUACUUGAUUUGGGUUGGGUUUCAUCCAAACAGGUCCAAAUUAGAACAAAUUAGAUAAAACGCAGAUGGCUGGAAUGGGUUAGGUAUGGGUUAAAAGAGUUUAACAGGUCAAAUGGGUCAAAGUUGUCCAAAAUAUGUUACUAUGCCUACAAUUACCUCUCUACCUCUGUCAUUUUAUUGAUAGAACUUAUUAUUAUUGUAGUAACAUUCUUUUUGUAAAAGUGCUUGGACAAAUUGGAGUCAUUUAAAGAAGACAACGAUUCAAAGUUGUAACACUUAACUAUCCAUCUUACAGGUACAAAGCGUGUCUGAUAUUGGUUAUGGUUUGGUAUCUUUAGGGGCUUGGGACUCAUUUACCCAAACUGAAAUUAAAGAAAUUAAUGUCGUUCUAUUAGCUCUAAUAGAACGAUAUGUGGUUGAUAGUAUAUGAGAUUUCAGUACUAAAAUGCUUUUCCCACACCCGUGACGGUAGUAAUGUAAUACCAGCACCAUCCCUUUUUAUUGGUGCUUAAGAACAGUAAGUCAAUAAUGCUAUAAAGAUUGUGCUAUUAUUAUUAUUGGGUUUUUCUAUUUUUGGCCAGCAAGUGGAAAAGCAGAUUUGGUCAAGAUUGCCAUUUGAUAGAUACAUAACAUAUAACAUGAUUAAGCUUCGAAAGCUCCAACAAGUAUGUGUUCAAAAGCAAUUCGAGGAUAUUGAAUGGUGGCAUUGAAUCACCAUUUUCAACCAGUUGAUAAAGCCUAAAAUCUUAAAGCGCCAUUGUUUGGAAGCUCUAGAAGCAUCCGUUAUUAAGCAAGUAUCUACUGUUACGAAUUGAAGCAACUAUGUAUAUAUACGUCACGGCUGGAAGCAGCUUCGGGUAGUCAGUUGGCUAAUAAGUGACGUUCCAGCACCCUCCUAGAAAAACUCUAAGAGUAUCUCUCCGAUGUCUACUCCAUCAAAAUCAUCUGAACACAAGGAAAAGAAAAUGUAAGACGUAUAUAAAUACACAAGCUGAUUCAUGUGACCGAGUAUCUAGAAUGAACCUUUAAUGCCUAAUUUUUUUAUGCACAUUGACAAGGAUUCUGAAUCAGAUCCUGGGGGUUGAUGAGGCCACGAGGGCAUAAUAGUAAGCAUGCUCCCUGCUGAAACACGAUGAAACAGAGUGUAAGAACACUAACAUAUCUAUGGACUGAUGUGUGUCACUUUGAGUAUUAAACUGUGUUUCUUAUCUACAAUACCGGUACAUUGAAGAUUCCGAAGUCAAGACCGACCUUGAUUAACCACCCGACCUUUUUUGCCACCUCCAAUAUAGUACUUAGUAUGUAAGUUGAAGUUGUUCUGUGUUCAGAUUAAUGUUGGUCAAAUUAUGACUAUAAGAAUCGGUUUAAGUUUAUAUUUUUACCCUGAGGGGAACCCAUUUGGCCAGUUCUUCA
This is a long non-coding RNA of Erigeron canadensis, 1917 nucleotides long. RefSeq lists it as uncharacterized. The record is from RefSeq and is a predicted model, not a curated record. The transcript has 3 exons. Lineage: Eukaryota; Viridiplantae; Streptophyta; Magnoliopsida; Asterales; Asteraceae.